CCCUUAGAUGUUCUGGGCCGCACGCGCGCUACACUGAUGCAUUCAACGAGUCUAAAACCUGGUCUGAUAGGGCUGGGUAAUCUUUUGAAUGUGCAUCGUGAUUGGGAUAGAUGAUUGCAAUUCUUCAUCUUCAACGAGGGAUGCCUAGUAAACGCAAGUCAUCAGCUUGCAUUGAUUACGUCCCUGCCCUUUGUACACACCGCCCGUCGCUCCUACCGAUUGAAUGUUCCGAUGAAUACCAUGGACUGAGAGUAUGAAUGGGUUCGCCUAUUUCUGCUUCUCGGGAAGUGGAGUAAAUCUUAACAUUUAGAGGAAGGAGAAGUCGUAACA
RNAcentral lists this ribosomal RNA (330 nucleotides) under uncultured eukaryote. Its description in RNAcentral is "partial 18S ribosomal RNA". It matches the Rfam family "Eukaryotic small subunit ribosomal RNA", at positions 1470 to 1796 of the family's 1831-position model. The record is from RNAcentral.